UACGGAGGGUGCAAGCGUUGUUCGGAAUCACUGGGCGUAAAGCGCGUGUAGGCGGCCUCCUCAGUCUGGUGUGAAAGCCCGGGGCUCAACCCCGGAAGUGCAUUGGAUACUGGGAGGCUGGAGUACCGAAGAGGAGGGUGGAAUUCCUGGUGUAGCGGUGAAAUGCGUAGAUAUCAGGAGGAACACCGGUGGCGAAGGCGGCCCUCUGGUCGGAUACUGACGCUGAGGUGCGAAAGCGUGGGGAGCAAACAGG
RNAcentral lists this ribosomal RNA (253 nucleotides) under uncultured bacterium. Its description in RNAcentral is "partial 16S ribosomal RNA". It matches the Rfam family "Bacterial small subunit ribosomal RNA", at positions 524 to 776 of the family's 1533-position model. The record is from RNAcentral.